RNAcentral lists this ribosomal RNA (253 nucleotides) under uncultured bacterium. Its description in RNAcentral is "partial 16S ribosomal RNA". It matches the Rfam family "Bacterial small subunit ribosomal RNA", at positions 524 to 776 of the family's 1533-position model. The record is from RNAcentral.
UACGGGGGGGGCAAGCGUUGUUCGGAAUUACUGGGCGUAAAGGGCUCGUAGGCGGCCAACUAAGUCAGACGUGAAAUCCCUCGGCUUAACCGGGGAACUGCGUCUGAUACUGGAUGGCUUGAGUUUGGGAGAGGGAUGCGGAAUUCCAGGUGUAGCGGUGAAAUGCGUAGAUAUCGAGAGGAACACCAGUGGCGAAGGCGGUUGCCUGGAGCUUUGCUGACGCUGAGGCGCGAAAGCGUGGGGAGCGAUCCGG